CAACCUGCCUUCGGAUGGGGACACAGCUGAAACGGCUGCUAAUACCGAAUACGUCUUUUUCAUCGCAUGGUGAGAAGAAGAAAAGGACGGCCUCUACACAAAGCGGUCGCCGAAGGAGGGGUUUGCGUCUGAUUAGCUAGUUGGAGGGGUAACGGCCCAACAAGGCGACGAUCAGUAGCCCGGUCCUGAGAGGAUGAACGGCCACAUUGGGACUGAGACACGGCCCAGACUCCUACGGGAGGCAGCAGUGGGGAAUCUUCCGCAAUGGACGAAAGUCUGACGGAGCAACGCCGCGUGAGUGAGACGGUCUUCGGAUUGUAAAGCUCUGUUAUACGGGACGAACGGCAAGGUGGUAAAUAGCCAUCAUGAGUGACGGUACCGUAAGAGAAAGCCACGGCUAACUACGUGCCAGCAGCCGCGGUAAU
RNAcentral lists this ribosomal RNA (425 nucleotides) under uncultured Veillonellaceae bacterium. Its description in RNAcentral is "bacterial SSU rRNA". It matches the Rfam family "Bacterial small subunit ribosomal RNA", at positions 122 to 524 of the family's 1533-position model. Lineage: Bacteria; Bacillati; Bacillota; Negativicutes; Veillonellales; Veillonellaceae. The record is from RNAcentral.